This 465-nucleotide ribosomal RNA is filed under the name Vreelandella stevensii. RNAcentral describes it as "partial 16S ribosomal RNA". It matches the Rfam family "Bacterial small subunit ribosomal RNA", at positions 338 to 795 of the family's 1533-position model. Lineage: Bacteria; Pseudomonadati; Pseudomonadota; Gammaproteobacteria; Oceanospirillales; Halomonadaceae. The record is from RNAcentral.
CCUACGGGUGGCUGCAGUGGAGAAUAUUGGACAAUGGGGGGAACCCUGAUCCAGCCAUGCCGCGUGUGUGAAGAAGGCCCUCGGGUUGUAAAGCACUUUCAGUGAGGAAGAACGCCUGGUGGUUAAUACCCAUCAGGAAAGACAUCACUCACAGAAGAAGCACCGGCUAACUCCGUGCCAGCAGCCGCGGUAAUACGGAGGGUGCGAGCGUUAAUCGGAAUUACUGGGCGUAAAGCGCGCGUAGGUGGCUUGAUAAGCCGGUUGUGAAAGCCCCGGGCUCAACCUGGGAACGGCAUCCGGAACUGUCAAGCUAGAGUGCAGGAGAGGAAGGUAGAAUUCCCGGUGUAGCGGUGAAAUGCGUAGAGAUCGGGAGGAAUACCAGUGGCGAAGGCGGCCUUCUGGACUGACACUGACACUGAGGUGCGAAAGCGUGGGUAGCAAACAGGAUUAGAUACCCUAGUAGUC